Molecule: long non-coding RNA, 374 nt
Organism: Drosophila kikkawai
Lineage: Eukaryota; Metazoa; Arthropoda; Insecta; Diptera; Drosophilidae
Source: RefSeq, a predicted model, not a curated record
AAUAUGUUAUAUGUUCUCCCCGAUCCGCGCUCACUCACUAAUCUGCUGCAGUAGAAAACUGUCGUUGGUGGGCAUAUACCGCUUGAUGGUGACGAAUCGCAGUUCGGCAAACUUCAGAAAAUGGCACCUUAAUGGAGGGGAUGACAAAACUAUUAAGCAAAGUAGUUAGGCCUGAUGGAUGGAGGACAUACCCACGGUGAUUUCAUUGCGACCAUCGCCGCCAAGGGCGAGAAUCGUUUUCAGAAAUACAAUUGUGAAUGCAUAAAUGUGAGCUGGACACAAAUGCAUUUUUCUAGCCUCCAAAUUCUCCUGUUUACCUCAAGACACUCGAAAACUAAUUGAAUUUUCUAAAUGCAGCGGCCAUUUCGUUUUCA